AUUGAACGCUGGCGGCAGGCUUAACACAUGCAAGUCGAGCGGGGGAAGGUAGCUUGCUACCGGACCUAGCGGCGGACGGGUGAGUAAUGCUUAGGAAUCUGCCUAUUAGUGGGGGACAACAUCUCGAAAGGGAUGCUAAUACCGCAUACGUCCUACGGGAGAAAGCAGGGGAUCUUCGGACCUUGCGCUAAUAGAUGAGCCUAGGUCGGAUCAGCUAGUUGGUGGGGUAAAGGCCUACCAAGGCGACGAUCUGUAGCGGGUCUGAGGGGAUGAUCCGCCACACUGGGACUGAGACACGGCCCAGACUCCUACGGGAGGCAGCAGUGGGGAAUAUUGGACAAUGGGGGGAACCCUGAUCCAGCCAUGCCGCGUGUGUGAAGAAGGCCUUUUGGUUGUAAAGCACUUUAAGCGAGGAGGAGGCUACUCUAGUUAAUACCUAGGGAUAGUGGACGUUACUCGCAGAAUAAGCACCGGCUAACUCUGUGCCAGCCGCCGCCGUAA
Molecule: ribosomal RNA, 501 nt
Filed under: uncultured bacterium
Lineage: Bacteria
Description: partial 16S ribosomal RNA
Rfam family: Bacterial small subunit ribosomal RNA
Source: RNAcentral